This 258-nucleotide ribosomal RNA is filed under the name uncultured bacterium. RNAcentral describes it as "partial 16S ribosomal RNA". The record is from RNAcentral.
CUGCUGCCUUCCGUAGGAGUUUGGGCCGUGUCUCAGUCCCAAUGUGGCCGUUCACCCUCUCAGGCCGGCUACUGAUCGUCGCCUUGGUGGGCUGUUACCCCGCCAACAAGCUAAUCAGACGCGGAUCCAUCGUAUACCACCGGAGUUUUUCACACCGUCUCAUGCGGGACUGUGCGCUUAUGCGGUAUUAGCACCUAUUUCUAAGUGUUAUCCCCCAGUAUACGGCAGGUUAUCCACGCGUUACUCACCCGUCCGCCA